This 429-nucleotide ribosomal RNA is filed under the name Bacteroidota bacterium. RNAcentral's name for it is "Bacteroidetes bacterium partial 16S ribosomal RNA". It matches the Rfam family "Bacterial small subunit ribosomal RNA", at positions 355 to 776 of the family's 1533-position model. Lineage: Bacteria; Pseudomonadati; Bacteroidota. The record is from RNAcentral.
UAGGGAAUCUUCCGCAAUGGGCGAAAGCUUGACGGAGCAACGCCGCGUGAGUGAUGAAGGUCUUCGGAUCGUAAAACUCUGUUAUUAGGGAAGAACAAAUGUGUAAGUAACUAUGCACGUCUUGACGGUACCUAAUCAGAAAGCCACGGCUAACUACGUGCCAGCAGCCGCGGUAAUACGUAGGUGGCAAGCGUUAUCCGGAAUUAUUGGGCGUAAAGCGCGCGUAGGCGGUUUUUUAAGUCUGAUGUGAAAGCCCACGGCUCAACCGUGGAGGGUCAUUGGAAACUGGAAAACUUGAGUGCAGAAGAGGAAAGUGGAAUUCCAUGUGUAGCGGUGAAAUGCGCAGAGAUAUGGAGGAACACCAGUGGCGAAGGCGACUUUCUGGUCUGUAACUGACGCUGAUGUACGAAAGCGUGGGGAUCAAACAGG